This 328-nucleotide small RNA is filed under the name Vigna angularis var. angularis. RNAcentral's name for it is "Non-protein coding transcript". Lineage: Eukaryota; Viridiplantae; Streptophyta; Magnoliopsida; Fabales; Fabaceae. The record is from RNAcentral.
GCAAAUAUUCAUAAGAACGAGUCUAAUUCGAUUGGGAGUAGUUUUCUUAAUGAAAGCAUUCAGAAGCUGCCAUUCCAUGAAAAUGAUAAUUCAUCUGAUACAGUGAGCAAUAUUGACAAUGAAUCACAAGAUUUGAACACUGGUGAGGGAGAUCAACCUAACUGGAGGCAGAUGUUUAUGAGUGGAUUAGAUGACAGAGAAAAAAUUUUGCUGGAGGAGUACACAUCAGUCUUAAUGAACUAUAAGGAGGUCAGGGCUAAGCUCAAUGAUGUGGAAAAGAGAAGCCGAGACAGCAUUUUUGAGUUGACACUUCAGCUUAGGGAGAUGA